AGGUGACUCAGCASCCGCGGUAAUACGUAGGGUGCGAGCGUUAAUCGGAAUUACUGGGCGUAAAGCGUGCGCAGGCGGCUUUGCAAGACAGAUGUGAAAUCCCCGGGCUCAACCUGGGAACUGCAUUUGUGACUGCAAGGCUAGAGUACGGCAGAGGGGGAUGGAAUUCCGCGUGUAGCAGUGAAAUGCGUAGAUAUGCGGAGGAACACCAAUGGCGAAGGCAAUCCCCUGGGCCUGUACUGACGCUCAUGCACCGAAAGCGUGGGGAGCAAACAGGAUUAGAUACCCUGGUAGUCCACGCCCUAAACGAUGUCAACUGGUUGUUGGACGGCUAG
RNAcentral lists this ribosomal RNA (335 nucleotides) under uncultured bacterium. Its description in RNAcentral is "bacterial SSU rRNA". It matches the Rfam family "Bacterial small subunit ribosomal RNA", at positions 503 to 834 of the family's 1533-position model. The record is from RNAcentral.